This 158-nucleotide ribosomal RNA is filed under the name Perkinsus qugwadii. RNAcentral describes it as "Perkinsus qugwadi 5.8S ribosomal RNA". It matches the Rfam family "5.8S ribosomal RNA". From Rfam's summary of the family: 5.8S ribosomal RNA (5.8S rRNA) is a component of the large subunit of the eukaryotic ribosome. It is transcribed by RNA polymerase I as part of the 45S precursor that also contains 18S and 28S rRNA. The record is from RNAcentral. Lineage: Eukaryota; Perkinsozoa; Perkinsida; Perkinsidae.
AACUCUCAACGAUGGAUGCCUCGGCUCGAGAAUCGAUGAAGGACGCAGCAAAGUGCGAUAAGCAUGCGAAUUGCAGAAUUCCGUGAAUCAGUAGAAAUCUCAACGCAAACUGCACAAAGGGGGUCUUUCCUCUUUGUACAUAUUCAUCAGCGUCGCCA